UUCGAUUGAGUUUGAUCCUGGCUCAGAUUGAACGCUGGCGGCAUGCUUUACACAUGCAAGUCGAACGGCAGCGGGGGCUUCGGCCUGCCGGCGAGUGGCGAACGGGUGAGUAAUACAUCGGAACGUGUCCUUAAGUGGGGAAUAACGCAUCGAAAGAUGUGCUAAUACCGCAUAUCUCUCAGGAGGAAAGCAGGGGAUCGAAAGACCUUGCGCUAAAGGAGCGGCUGAUGUCUGAUUAGCUAGUUGGUGGGGUAAAGGCUUACCAAGGCAACGAUCAGUAGCUGGUCUGAGAGGACGACCAGCCACACUGGGACUGAGACACGGCCCAGACUCCUACGGGAGGCAGCAGUGGGGAAUUUUGGACAAUGGGCGAAAGCCUGAUCCAGCCAUGCCGCGUGAGUGAAGAAGGCCUUCGGGUUGUAAAGCUCUUUUAGUCGGAAAGAAAGAGUCAUAGUAAAUAGCUAUGAUUUAUGACGGUACCGACAGAAAAAGCACCGGCUAACUACGUGCCAGCAGCCGCGGUAAUACGUAGGGUGCGAGCGUUAAUCGGAAUUACUGGGCGUAAAGGGUGCGCAGGCGGCCUUGUAAGUCAGAUGUGAAAGCCCCGGGCUUAACCUGGGAAUUGCGUUUGAAACUACAAAGCUAGAGUGCAGCAGAGGGGAGUGGAAUUCCAUGUGUAGCAGUGAAAUGCGUAGAGAUGUGGAAGAACACCGAUGGCGAAGGCAGCUCCCUGGGUUGACACUGACGCUC
This 750-nucleotide ribosomal RNA is filed under the name uncultured bacterium. RNAcentral describes it as "bacterial SSU rRNA". It matches the Rfam family "Bacterial small subunit ribosomal RNA", at positions 1 to 748 of the family's 1533-position model. The record is from RNAcentral.